Molecule: long non-coding RNA, 263 nt
Organism: Vitis vinifera (wine grape)
Lineage: Eukaryota; Viridiplantae; Streptophyta; Magnoliopsida; Vitales; Vitaceae
Exons: 4
Source: RefSeq, a predicted model, not a curated record
AUUCCUAGUCUGCAAGGUGUUCACUUAGAUAUUUUCAUUCAUCAAUGUUCAGUUAUUCAACAGUCUCCUUUUGAGGCGUGAAUGUUGCUCAUUCAGCAAUGGGGAGUUUGUUAAGACAGGAUUGGCUGAGUUAGAAAAUUUGUGCCAUGAAGCAACCAAAGAGUAUGCUGGCUCAGCUUGGGAUGAACUGAGGCAUAUCAGACAAGCAGUUGGAUUCCUGCUUUGAAACAGUGUCGUUUCAUAGAAGUUGAAUGUGAUGUUAA